Molecule: ribosomal RNA, 37 nt
Filed under: Nitella pulchella
Lineage: Eukaryota; Viridiplantae; Streptophyta; Charophyceae; Charales; Characeae
Description: partial 26S rRNA
Source: RNAcentral
UGACCUCAGAUCGGGCGGGAGCACCCGCUGAAUUUAA